This is a non-coding RNA of Coffea arabica (coffee), 236 nucleotides long. NCBI's taxonomy places the organism in Eukaryota, Viridiplantae, Streptophyta, Magnoliopsida, Gentianales, Rubiaceae. The record is from RefSeq and is a predicted model, not a curated record.
UAUUGGUGGCUGAUUUGAUGAAUUAACAUGUUUUGGUUGCUGAUAUUGUGCUAUGUUACAUGUAUAUAGAAUGAUUGAUGGAAUGAAGUUGGAAGAAAGUUAGAAAUUUGGAGAAGGAUCUCAAGAGGACUUCGAGGGAACUCCCGGCGAAGCGUCUUAGAGCUAAUUUCUCAAACUUUGACUUUUGAUACUUGGUUUGGAAGUGGAAGUUCUGAGGCUUAAUUAGUGACCCCCAA